GAGGGUAUAGCUCAAUGGUAGAGCACAUGCUUAGCAUGCAUGAGGUCCUGGGUUCAAUCCCCAGUACCUCCA
This 72-nucleotide transfer RNA is filed under the name Camelus bactrianus (Bactrian camel). It matches the Rfam family "tRNA". From Rfam's summary of the family: Transfer RNA (tRNA) molecules are approximately 80 nucleotides in length. Their secondary structure includes four short double-helical elements and three loops (D, anti-codon, and T loops). The record is from Rfam by way of RNAcentral. Lineage: Eukaryota; Metazoa; Chordata; Mammalia; Artiodactyla; Camelidae. RNAcentral also lists the same sequence under 3 other names.